RNAcentral lists this unclassified non-coding RNA (425 nucleotides) under uncultured Glomus. Its description in RNAcentral is "SSU rRNA". It matches the Rfam family "Eukaryotic small subunit ribosomal RNA", at positions 569 to 996 of the family's 1831-position model. The record is from RNAcentral. Lineage: Eukaryota; Fungi; Glomeromycota; Glomeromycetes; Glomerales; Glomeraceae.
AGCAGCCGCGGUAAUUCCAGCUCCAAUAGCGUAUAUUAAAGUUGUUGCAGUUAAAAAGCUCGUAGUUGAAUUUCGGGGUCUGUCCGUCGGUCGGGCUUCACGGUCCGUACUGGUGUGAUGGGUUCCUACCUUCUGAAUAGCCGGCAUGCCAUUCAUUUGGUGCGCCGGGGAAGCAGAGCUAUUACCUUGAAAAAAUUAGAGUGCUUAAAGCAGGCUAGUGCUUGAAUAGAUUAGCAUGGAAUAAUAAAAUAGGACGGCAUGGUUCUAUUUUGUUGGUUUCUAGGAUCACCGUAAUGAUUAAUAGGGAUAGUUGGGGGCAUUAGUAUUCAAUUGUCAGAGGUGAAAUUCUUGGAUUUAUUGAAGACUAACUUCUGCGAAAGCAUUUGCCAAGGAUGUUUUCAUUAAUCAAGAACGAAAGUUAGGGG